AGGAAUGUAUAGCAAUAGCUACUUGUAUCAUUAAUGAUGCAAGCUCGACUAUGUUGAAUAAAAUUCUAGGUAGAAUUAUGAUAAUGACAUUGUCUGCCUAUGUGUCUUGACCAAAUUACGUGCCAGCAGUCGCGGUAAUACGUAGAAGACUAGUGUUAUUCAUGUUUAAUCGGUUUAAAGGGUACCUAGACGGUGAAUCAAGCUUUAAAUAAAUAAGAAAAGGGACUAAUUUACUAGAGUUACUUACGAGGGGGUAUUAAAGUACUGCUGGUGUAGAGAUGAAAUUCUGUCAUACCUCUUUUCGAAAGAAAAAUCAUGGCACAGGUAUAGGCGAAGGCAUCCCCUUAUGUGAUAACUGACGUUGAGGGACGAAGGCUUCGUCUAAUGAACAGGAUUAGAUACCCUAGUAGUUGAAGCAGAAAAUGAUGAAUGUCAUAGAUUAGACGUCUAAGUUUAUUCUAUAAAUGAAAGUGUAAGCAUUCCACCUCAUGAGUAAUUUGGCAACAUUGGAAUUGAAAUCAUUAGACCGUUUCUGAAACCAGUAGUGAAGUAUGUUGUUUAAUUUGAUAAUCCGCAAAAAACCUUACCACAAUUUGAAUAUUUAUAUUAUUUAUUGUUAUCUCAUUAAUUUUUUUCCUUUUUUAAAAACCAAACAAUUAAACGAUAAUAAAAAUAUUACAAAAAAAAAAGACAAUAUAAUUAAUCAAGAGGCAAUAACAUAUAUCUACAAGCGUUGCACGGCUGUCUUCAGUUAAUGUCGCGAGACUUAGGUUAGUUCCAUUAAAUUAACGUAAACCCUUACUUUAUUUUUUAUAUAGAGUAGUUCCCCGCUAUAUUGGAUAUGAU
RNAcentral lists this ribosomal RNA (846 nucleotides) under Parmotrema fistulatum. RNAcentral's name for it is "partial small subunit ribosomal RNA". It matches the Rfam family "Bacterial small subunit ribosomal RNA", at positions 357 to 1174 of the family's 1533-position model. The record is from RNAcentral. Lineage: Eukaryota; Fungi; Ascomycota; Lecanoromycetes; Lecanorales; Parmeliaceae.